RNAcentral lists this ribosomal RNA (670 nucleotides) under uncultured bacterium. RNAcentral's name for it is "bacterial SSU rRNA". It matches the Rfam family "Bacterial small subunit ribosomal RNA", at positions 56 to 715 of the family's 1533-position model. The record is from RNAcentral.
UGCAAGUCGAACGGUAACAGGAAGAAGCUUGCUUCUUUGCUGACGAGUGGCGGACGGGUGAGUAAUGUCUGGGAAACUGCCUGAUGGAGGGGGAUAACCACUGGAAACGGUAGCUAAUACCGCAUAACGUCGCAAGACCAAAGAGGGGGACCUUCGGGCCUCUUGCCAUCGGAUGUGCCCAGAUGGGAUUAGCUAGUAGGUGGGGUAACGGCUCACCUAGGCGACGAUCCCUAGCUGGUCUGAGAGGAUGACCAGCCACACUGGAACUGAGACACGGUCCAGACUCCUACGGGAGGCAGCAGUGGGGAAUAUUGCACAAUGGGCGCAAGCCUGAUGCAGCCAUGCCGCGUGUAUGAAGAAGGCCUUCGGGUUGUAAAGUACUUUCAGCGGGGAGGAAGGGAGUAAAGUUAAUACCUUUGCUCAUUGACGUUACCCGCAGAAGAAGCACCGGCUAACUCCGUGCCAGCAGCCGCGGUAAUACGGAGGGUGCAAGCGUUAAUCGGAAUUACUGGGCGUAAAGCGCACGCAGGCGGUUUGUUAAGUCAGAUGUGAAAUCCCCGGGCUCAACCUGGGAACUGCAUCUGAUACUGGCAAGCUUGAGUCUCGUAGAGGGGGGUAGAAUUCCAGGUGUAGCGGUGAAAUGCGUAGAGAUCUGGAGGAAUACCGGUGG